GUGGGGAAUAUUGCACAAUGGGCGCAAGCCUGAUGCAGCGACGCCGCGUGCGGGAUGACGGCCUUCGGGUUGUAAACCGCUUUUGACUGGGAGCAAGCCCUUCGGGGUGAGUGUACCUUUCGAAUAAGCACCGGCUAACUACGUGCCAGCAGCCGCGGUAAUACGUAGGGUGCAAGCGUUAUCCGGAAUUAUUGGGCGUAAAGGGCUCGUAGGCGGUUCGUCGCGUCCGGUGUGAAAGUCCAUCGCUUAACGGUGGAUCCGCGCCGGGUACGGGCGGGCUUGAGUGCGGUAGGGGAGACUGGAAUUCCCGGUGUAACGGUGGAAUGUGUAGAUAUCGGGAAGAACACCAAUGGCGAAGGCAGGUCUCUGGGCCGUCACUGACGCUGAGGAGCGAAAGCGUGGGGAGCGA
This 409-nucleotide ribosomal RNA is filed under the name uncultured Bifidobacterium sp. Its description in RNAcentral is "bacterial SSU rRNA". It matches the Rfam family "Bacterial small subunit ribosomal RNA", at positions 354 to 771 of the family's 1533-position model. Lineage: Bacteria; Bacillati; Actinomycetota; Actinomycetes; Bifidobacteriales; Bifidobacteriaceae. The record is from RNAcentral.